Molecule: ribosomal RNA, 564 nt
Filed under: uncultured bacterium
Lineage: Bacteria
Description: partial 16S ribosomal RNA
Rfam family: Bacterial small subunit ribosomal RNA
Source: RNAcentral
UGGGGAAUAUUGGACAAUGGGGGCAACCCUGAUCCAGCCAUGCCGCGUGAGUGAUGAAGGCCUUCGGGUUGUAAAGCUCUUUUGGCGGGGACGAUGAUGACGGUACCCGCAGAAUAAGCCCCGGCUAACUUCGUGCCAGCAGCCGCGGUAAGACGAAGGGGGCUAGCGUUGUUCGGAAUUACUGGGCGUAAAGCGAGUGUAGGCGGUUGCCGUAGUCAGGUGUGAAAGCCUUGAGCUCAACUCAAGAAAUGCACUUGAUACUGGGUGACUAGAGGACCGGAGAGGAUAGUGGAAUUCCCAGUGUAGUGGUGAAAUACGUAGAGAUUGGGAAGAACACCAGUGGCGAAGGCGGCUAUCUGGACGGUUACUGACGCUAAGACUCGAAAGCGUGGGGAGCAAACAGGAUUAGAUACCCUGGUAGUCCACGCCGUAAACGAUGGGUGCUAGACGUUGGCGAGCUUGCUCGUCAGUGUCGCAGCUAACGCGUUAAGCACCCCCGGCCUGGGGAGUACGGCCGCAAGGGUUGAAANUCAAAAUGAAUUGACGGGGUCAUAGCUGUUUCCU